AGUGACGGGAAUUCUGACUCGUUUUUGUGAAUCAGAUCAGACUCAACUCAGCUCACCAAUAUGAGCCGACUCUUUCGACUCCAAAUGGCUCAAUGACAUUUUUUCAAUAUUUGUGAAGGUUCUUAUUUGUCCAACUACCCAGAUAGCAAGCACAUUUGGGCCGAUUCCGGUAGAAACCCGCCGGUAUCGGUGAAAAGGUAAUGGCCUAGAGCACUGCCGACUGCUCACACCACUUCUGGCUGACAAACGGUUUUUAUGUGUGCCAAUGUCGACUGAAAGCUGGUGUACUUUCGGCAGGCCCGUACUCGAUGUAGCGGUGUGUAUCUACUUUCGGCCGAGUGUGUUACGUCACAGUCGGGCCACAGCUAGAAUUAAGGAGCUCGGCCGCCUGGAGUAAAAGAAAAAGAAAAAAAAAAAAUGGCGGUUAAAUAAGUUAGCAUCCUCUGGCUGCGGUCAGUCUGCGUUUUCAUUCAGCUGAAGAAGAUAGCUAUGAGAAAGGAAGGAGAAAGGUUCGAGAGGCUGAGGUUCGAUCUGACCUUCAGUCAGAUGCAGAAGAGCCAGGCCGAAAAAAUGCCAGGCGCAAAAUGCCAAGCACUCGACUUUUGAGCUCCUCUUUGAUGGACUUUGAGGAAGAUGAUGCUUUACAGCAGGAUUCCACAGGUAUUCCUGCUCCUCCACCAGUCUGUCAGCUUGAUUGACCCACAGAGGGGACUUCAAUAUCCUUUACAGAAAUGCUGACCAGUAACCAUGCCAUCUGGCAGCCUGAGGAUUUCACAUGUGAACGUCCAAACCCACAACAGUCUGAACAGACUCUAUUACACGGAUGCCAAAGGACUCAUCAGACCCCUACUCCUGAAGUUGUCUGUAACUCCACAAGCCUUGAAGAUCUUGGUUCCAAGAAACACCUUUCUGUGGAAAAAGAGCUCUACAGCCACCUGAAGUCAGUGCCAAUGCUGUCCGAAAGAACCCGUUAACAUCAAGGGCAACAAGUGCUGAGAUUGAGACAGUGAUGAAAAGGCGGCUGCAGCUGGCUACAGACCGUGGAGGAGGACGGAAGAGGCGCGACAAACAGUAGCUUGCCCUUGAUAUACAUUGAUAUGAAUUCUGCUCAUUUACAUUACAUUCUAACUGAUAAUCUGUGGUACAUGUUAAAUUCAUGUUUUUGUUUGUUCAUUUAUGUCAUUGUCUCUGCGUUGUUAAGUUAAUGUUUAAUGUAAUUUUUUUAAUUUGAUGGGCUGUGAAAUAUUUUUAUACAGUUUUAUUAUUUUAAAAAUAAAUAUUAAAUAUCAU
This is a long non-coding RNA of Ictalurus furcatus (blue catfish), 1290 nucleotides long. RefSeq lists it as uncharacterized. NCBI's taxonomy places the organism in Eukaryota, Metazoa, Chordata, Actinopteri, Siluriformes, Ictaluridae. The record is from RefSeq and is a predicted model, not a curated record. The transcript has 6 exons.